UAAAGAUUCAUCGCUGAUAGAUAGGCAUGCGUUCCAUUAGGCAGUUGGCGGGGUAACGGCCCACCAAACCGACGAUGGAUAGGGGUUCUGAGAGGAAGGUCCCCCACAUUGGUACUGAGACACGGACCAAACUCCUACGGGAGGCAGCAGUGAGGAAUAUUGGUCAAUGGGCGCGAGCCUGAACCAGCCAAGUCGCGUGAGGGAUGAAGGUUCUAUGGAUCGUAAACCUCUUUUAUAAGGGAAUAAAGUGUGGGACGUGUCCUAUUUUGUAUGUACCUUAUGAAUAAGGAUCGGCUAACUCCGUGCCAGCAGCCGCGGUAAUACGGAGGAUCCGAGCGUUAUCCGGAUUUAUUGGGUUUAAAGGGUGCGUAGGCGGCCUUUUAAGUCAGCGGUGAAAGUCUGUGGCUCAACCAUAGAAUUGCCGUUGAAACUGGGGGGCUUGAGUAUGUUUGAGGCAGGCGGAAUGCGUGGUGUAGCGGUGGAAUGCUUAGAUAUCACGCAGAACCCCGAUUGCGAAGGCAGCCUGCCAAGCCAUGACUGACGCUGAUGCACGAAAGCGUGGGGAUCAAACAGGAUUAGAUACCCUGGUAGUCCACGCAGUAAACGAUGAUCACUAGCUGUUUGCGAUACAGUGUAA
RNAcentral lists this ribosomal RNA (637 nucleotides) under uncultured bacterium. Its description in RNAcentral is "bacterial SSU rRNA". It matches the Rfam family "Bacterial small subunit ribosomal RNA", at positions 202 to 842 of the family's 1533-position model. The record is from RNAcentral.